Molecule: transfer RNA, 72 nt
Filed under: Homotherium latidens (European saber-tooth cat)
Lineage: Eukaryota; Metazoa; Chordata; Mammalia; Carnivora; Felidae
Description: tRNA-Thr
Source: RNAcentral
GUCUUUGUAGNNUAUAUAUAUAAUACUUCGGCCUUGUAAACCGAAAAAGGAGAUUUAUACCCUCCCUAAGAC